Molecule: long non-coding RNA, 3284 nt
Organism: Ostrinia nubilalis (European corn borer)
Lineage: Eukaryota; Metazoa; Arthropoda; Insecta; Lepidoptera; Crambidae
Exons: 2
Source: RefSeq, a predicted model, not a curated record
UCCAGGUCGGGCGUCGGUUCAUCAGGCUCCCCGCAGUCGCUGCAUACAGCCGUGAGCCCGGCCAGCUCGCGCGGCACGCUGGUGUCGCAGGGCGGACACGUGUACCGCAACGCGCGGCCCUACAGCAAGGCCGCCAAGCUCAGGUGAGUGACUACCAGUGUAGUCCAGGUCGGGCGUCGGUUCAUCGGGCUCCCCGCAGUCGCUGCAUACAGCCGUGAGCCCGGCCAGCUCGCGCGGCACGCUGGUGUCGCAGGGCGGACACGUGUACCGCAACGCGCGGCCCUACAGCAAGGCCGCCAAGCUCAGGUGACUACCAGUGUAGUCCAGGUCGGGCGUCGGUUCAUCGGGCUCCCCGCAGUCGCUGCAUACAGCCGUGAGCCCGGCCAGCUCGCGCGGCACGCUGGUGUCGCAGGGCGGACACGUGUACCGCAACGCGCGGCCCUACAGCAAGGCCGCCAAGCUCAGGUGAGUGACUACCAGUGUAGUCCAGGUCGGGCGUCGGUUCAUCAGGUCGGGCACACGGCCGUUAGUCCGGCCAGCUCGCGCGGCACGCUGGUGUCGCAGGGCGGACACGUGUACCGCAACGCGCGGCCCUACAGCAAGGCCGCCAAGCUCAGGUGAGUGACUACCAGUGUAGUCCAGGUCGGGCGUCGGUUCAUCAGGUCGGGCACACGGCCGUUAGUCCGGCCAGCUCGCGCGGCACGCUGGUGUCGCAGGGCGGACACGUGUACCGCAACGCGCGGCCCUACAGCAAGGCCGCCAAGCUCAGGUGAGUGACUACCAGUGUAGUCCAGGUCGGGCGUCGGUUCAUCGGGCUCCCCGCAGUCGCUGCAUACAGCCGUGAGCCCGGCCAGCUCGCGCGGCACGCUGGUGUCGCAGGGCGGACACGUGUACCGCAACGCGCGGCCCUACAGCAAGGCCGCCAAGCUCAGGUGAGUGACUACCAGUGUAGUCCAGGUCGGGCGUCGGUUCAUCGGGCUCCCCGCAGUCGCUGCAUACAGCCGUGAGCCCGGCCAGCUCGCGCGGCACGCUGGUGUCGCAGGGCGGACACGUGUACCGCAACGCGCGGCCCUACAGCAAGGCCGCCAAGCUCAGGUGAGUGACUACCAGUGUAGUCCAGGUCGGGCGUCGGUUCAUCGGGCUCCCCGCAGUCGCUGCAUACAGCCGUGAGCCCGGCCAGCUCGCGCGGCACGCUGGUGUCGCAGGGCGGACACGUGUACCGCAACGCGCGGCCCUACAGCAAGGCCGCCAAGCUCAGGUGAGUGACUACCAGUGUAGUCCAGGUCGGGCGUCGGUUCAUCGGGCUCCCCGCAGUCGCUGCAUACAGCCGUGAGCCCGGCCAGCUCGCGCGGCACGCUGGUGUCGCAGGGCGGACACGUGUACCGCAACGCGCGGCCCUACAGCAAGGCCGCCAAGCUCAGGUGAGUGACUACCAGUGUAGUCCAGGUCGGGCGUCGGUUCAUCAGGCUCCCCGCAGUCGCUGCAUACAGCCGUGAGCCCGGCCAGCUCGCGCGGCACGCUGGUGUCGCAGGGCGGACACGUGUACCGCAACGCGCGGCCCUACAGCAAGGCCGCCAAGCUCAGGUGAGUGACUACCAGUGUAGUCCAGGUCGGGCGUCGGUUCAUCAGGCUCCCCGCAGUCGCUGCAUACAGCCGUGAGCCCGGCCAGCUCGCGCGGCACGCUGGUGUCGCAGGGCGGACACGUGUACCGCAACGCGCGGCCCUACAGCAAGGCCGCCAAGCUCAGUUCUCAAUGGUCACUUUAGGCGAUUGUAUAGGGUCAGUAUGGGUUCGCCAAAUUAUGCACAAUUUCUGCACAAUAUACGAAAUACAUAAAGUUUAAAAUAGCAUAGCACAAACUUUAUACUUUUUAUAAUACAUGGAUGAAAGAGACAACGCUCUACAAAAGUUCAGCUUUUGGAUAUCGGUGUCUCUCUCAAGCAUGUGUCAGUAGAAUUAUUGUGUGCUGUACAUUUAGAAUGAUGCUAGAAAGUCAGCGACUUGCUGCGAAAAGAAGUUGUGGUUUUGUAUAAUUUUCUUAAUGAUUAACGACUUAAAAAUGGUAUCAUAAAUCUAUGGAACAUUAAAUCUAAUAAAACAAGAAUCUCAGAAACUUAUUUAUUUGGUAUUUAUAGCAGUCAAAAUUGAGGAGUCUGCAGUAUUUACAAGCAAAAGUAUUUUAGUCAAAACUAAAAAUUAUAAAAGAUGCAUUUACAUAGCCUCGGAUGUACAAAAUUGUGAUCGUAUUGUUUUGUCUUUUUUGUUAUUAUUUAAUUUUGUGUUACAAGUGACUUGAUUGUAUUUGACUUCUUAUUCAAAAUCUAAGUGCUUGCUUAGAUUUUUCUUUAGUUUAUACUUAUUUGAGUAUAAUUAUUACUUUUUUCUUUUUAUUUCAUCUUUCAUUCCACUUUUAAUGGAACCAACAAUAUUAUAUUAUGCAUUUAUGUAUAAAAUGUAAUUUAGUAUUAAAAGAUUAUUGCUUGUUUCUUUUUAUUUCAUCUUUCAUUCCACUUUUAAUGGAACCAACAUUAUUAUAUGCAUUUAUGUAUAAAAAAUAAUUUAGUAUUAAAAUAGUAAUAGACUAUUAAAAAAUGGUGAGAUCUUGAUAAAGGAAAAAGGAAACGAAGUACCUGAGAUGAGUGUGCAAGUAACUGAUUGUGAUAAUUAUGAUUUUAUAUUAUUGUAUAUCAUUUUAUUGUAGAAUUAUAAUUUUUGUGGCAAAUAUCCGCCAUAGCUCAAAUUAGGGUCAAGUAGUUCAUGACACCUAAAGUGGACAAAAAGUUGAUAAUACAACCUUAUUCCGUUGGAACAAAGACGUGUUGCGAACUUUUUGGCUUCUUUGGGUGUCACAAACUAUUUGACGCUGAAUGACCACGCCUUAAAUUUUUGGCCUCUUCUUUUGGGCCAGUUCUCUGUUUAACAGGGGAUAGGCUGGUUUUAGAGUCACGCUGACGCACGCUGACCGUCAGCGCUGACUGCCGAAAUGUAUGAAGCGUCGGCGCCGAGCGAUCAGCGUCACUCAGGAACGUUCCCUUCAAUUACAUACAAAUUGAUCUGUCAGCGCCGACGAUCAGCGAGCGGUCAGCGCGAUCUUAAAACCAGCCAUACAGUAUGGACACAAUAUGCGAACAAAACGUAUAAGAUAUGCGUAUUGGAGUUAUAAUAAGAGAAAGGCGAGUUCCCAGUUGUAUGGUUGUGACGGACAUUUGCCAUUGUUACAAACAUAUUGUAAGUAGAAUUUGACUUUAAUUUCGUUUAUGUAUAAAUAAAUGCAUUUUAAUUUA